UACAGAGGGUGCAAGCGUUAAUCGGAUUUAUUGGGCGUAAAGGGCGUGUAGGCGGAUAUUUAAGUCGGAUGUGAAAUCCCUGGGCUUAACCUAGGAAUUGCAUUCGAUACUGAAUGUCUAGAGUGUGGUAGAGGGAAGUGGAAUUUCCGGUGUAGCGGUGAAAUGCGUAGAUAUCGGAAAGAACACCAGUGGCGAAGGCGACUUCCUGGACCAACACUGACGCUAAGGCGCGAAAGCGUGGGGAGCAAACAGG
This 253-nucleotide unclassified non-coding RNA is filed under the name uncultured Gammaproteobacteria bacterium. RNAcentral's name for it is "contains 16S-23S intergenic spacer region". It matches the Rfam family "Bacterial small subunit ribosomal RNA", at positions 524 to 776 of the family's 1533-position model. Lineage: Bacteria; Pseudomonadati; Pseudomonadota; Gammaproteobacteria. The record is from RNAcentral.